Molecule: non-coding RNA, 1327 nt
Organism: Bemisia tabaci
Lineage: Eukaryota; Metazoa; Arthropoda; Insecta; Hemiptera; Aleyrodidae
Source: RefSeq, a predicted model, not a curated record
AUUAAUCCUUUUUAUGGAUGAAAUGUCGGCAAUUUAUCAAAAUAAUGAAACAAUUUGGCAGCUACUUUUAAUCAGAUGGCUUGUUACUCAUGACUUACAUCCUAUCAACUUAUCUAGGUGUGACGAUUUUUUUUGUUGAGCAUCCGUGUAUUUGUAGCCUUCUCAGUUUGUUCCUGCGUUUCCUUUGGUCGGUCUCCGCGCUGUUAUAUUGUUAUGAGACGUGUAGCUCCAAAAUGAUACAAAAAAGUGUCAAUAAAUACGUUGUCUUAUUUUCUGUGCACAGUGACAAUAGAUAUCUUUUUUGGCCUGAAGUAUUCCUUACAAGUUUAAGCACACUUGAUCCGUACGUGCAGCGUAUCUUUAACAGUAAUAGGAAUAAAACAUACAAAGAGAGAGAAGAAUCUAUGGAUGCUCAUGAUAUUAUCGGGGAUGUUAUCGAGUGUACGCCACGAUUUCAACUGUGGGUGGAGUACCCGAGAGAGAACAUCGUAGACUUCGGCAACAUCAUCAACCCUCGAGCUUGCUCAUCGACACCAUCAGUGGUCCAUUGGCCGGUACAAAAAGACGUGUACUAUAUAUUAUCAUUAGUUGGUGCGGAUUACCCGUCGCGAGAGCGAAGAACAGAAUACACAGAAUGGAACCAUUGGUUGAUCGUUAACAUCCAGGGAAAUAAUUGGGCAGAUGGAGAAGUUCUGGCAGAGUACAUUGGACCCCAUUUAUUAAAAGGCAAAGGUUUCCAUCGGUACGUGUUUUUGGUUUACCAACAACCGACUGGAAAAAUAAAAUUUGACGAGCCUCGUUUAAAUAAAACAUAUGGUAAGAAGAUUCGAAGGAAUUUUUGUAUCCGAGAAUUCGCCGUUAAAUAUGAUCUGGAGUCUCCCAUCGCAGGAAAUUGGUUCUUCACUCCGUGAUGUGAUUAUUUAAGCUUGUAAAGGUAUGAGUUAGAAUGAUGGGAAUGGCAUCUUCUACGGAUAAUCGUACUCAUUGAAAUAAAAUCUGAAGAUGAGUUUUCUCAGAAUUUUUUGGACAGCCACUUUUCUGCCUGGAGUGCUCCUUUUAGAGUUAAACACCUUGGAUCCAUUCAUAAAACACGUUCUAGACAGACAAAAGAAUAAAACAUACGAGGAGCGUGAAACAUCUAUGACUGUAAAUGACAUCGUCGGAGAUGUUAUUGAGUGUACGCCGCAAUUUGGACUGAGGGUAGCGUAUUUUAGUGAGAACAUUGUUGACUACGGCAACAUCAUCGACUCCACAGACUGUCUCUCGCCACCGGUCGUGGUUGAGUGGCCUGCUGAAAAAGACGCGUACUAUACGCUAUCAUUAGUUG